GAGGAAGUCGGGACCUUCAGUGAGGAUGGCUGGCGACCAAAGAACUGAACUUUAACACGUGAGUUGGUCUCCCUGCGACCACAGAUGUCCAACGCAGGCCCACCUCCCGCCGCCUGGAAGGCCCAGGUGUGGCUGGAGGGCGGCUGAAAGGGUCAGAACACGAGAUUAUUCUCAACUUUGGGCUUUUACACAGCAGUUUCAAAGACAAAGGGGCUUUUCAGGUAGGUUUGGUUUGCCGUCCUCCUCCUCCCAGGUCUGAGCUUGUUCCCCAAGGUCCCCAGCCAUGCUUGGGACGUCCUUCAGUUUGCCCCAUUUUCUUCGGGCCACCCCGCGCCCCUAGGUUGUCUGCCGUCCCUCCUAGCGAGAGGUGGAUGGCCGCGACAUUCCAGGGAGGAAAAAUGGACGGGUGAGGGGGGGCAAAGACGCCCUUCUGACCUCCUACCUCACCUCGGUGACGCGUCCCACCACGCCCGCGAGGAGCCCGCAGGCUACGCCUUCGCCGCGCUAGCUCCCGUCGCUCCGAUCCUCGGCGGGGGGAGGGGCGCGGUGCGGCCGGCGCUCUCUGAUUGGCUCCCGCGUCGGCGAUCCACGCCACGAUUGUUCCCUGCGACCGUCUGGCGCCAGCGCACUGCAGGUGGGGAGUGGGCGUUGGAAGUUGCUGGAAGUUGGAGGCAGGGGAGCGGUCACUCGCGGCGAGCGCCGGCGGCGUCCAGGGCGCAAAGUUGAGAGCAGUCCCUAGUCUGAGCCUUUCAGUCGCGCUCCAGUAUCAUCAGUACCACGGACUUCACCAUGGACUUACCACUUGCUGCGGCCCCUCAGCAACCCAGUGCACCUGCCACUCCACCAGAAGAGCCAUGUGACCGGAUCCCCAGUUUGGCAGAGGAGACAUGUGAGAGGACGGAAGGUUUUGGCCGAAAAGACAUCUGGCAGGGAACAGAGAGAACAGGUGUGGCAGAGAGAACGUCUGAGAAGCUUGCACGAUUCGCAGAAGGAGCAUCGGUAGAAGAUUGCCUGUUUGCCCAAAGGAACGUCAAGUUCCAAAGGAAUGUUUCUGGUGGCUUACAAGGACUAUCUCCAACGUGCUUGGUCUCGCUUAACUUUCGCAGGAUCCUGAAUCGGGCAUCUACUGUUCGUCCUUACUGCUCUGGGAUGUCUCGGUCUUACCAUGUCCCUGCCAACCCUGGUCCUAUCUUGUCACGAUCACCCACUGAAGAGAGGAGGUGCUGGAGUGAACGUGGUUGGGGGAGCCCCGUUCAUCCCCAGGGUCCCAGAAUGAACCAGUGUUACCAUGUACUCCUGGUCUUGCCUUCCUUCCUGCUCUAA
RNAcentral lists this long non-coding RNA (1323 nucleotides) under Papio anubis (olive baboon). Its description in RNAcentral is "lncRNA (ENSPANG00000036776.2)". The record is from RNAcentral. Lineage: Eukaryota; Metazoa; Chordata; Mammalia; Primates; Cercopithecidae.